UCCGCCUGUAGCUUCCGCGUACUUCACACACAGGACCCCGGCAGAUUUUUGGCGGCUUGAAAUGUUGCCUGUCUUUAAUUCGUCGUCACGGUCUAGCGUCAAUUCAGCUACUGUGAACCAUAAAUAUAAUAAUGGAAGCUGGUCAGAGGCAAACAGGACUUAUCGUUAUUGUUCUCUUUCGAGAUUUCAGGUAAAACAUUAGAACAAAACUGGAACAUCUGUAGAGCUCAGAGUGACCAGAGUUGUAGGAGAAACCCUGUGUGUGCACAGGGAGAACACCAAACCUCAAAUUUCUUGGAGUACUCUGUGUUCUCGGAGGUCUGAGAGCGCCAGAAUUGACUGGACAAAACCUACGUGUGCACAAGAAGAGCUUAAAAUCUCCAACUGCUUGGAGCCUUGGAGAGUUUUUUGGAUUUGUAAUGGGAGAAAACCCAAGCAAGCGCAGGGAAAACUGUACGUACUUGGAGGACUGGGAGUACUGACCUCGGUGUAACCGGAACGACCUGGGACAACACAUACAUAUGCAUGAGGAACCUAAAAUCAGCAGAUACUUGGAGGAUCUAGAGCACUGAGUGUUGUCAGAGAAAACCUACACUCUACAUCUGUUUAGGGUAGUGAGAGUUCUUGGAGUACCCAGAGAAAACUCAAACAGGGACCUGGAGACAAAUCAAAACUCCAGUUACUCUGAGAACUUUGUUUUCUUGAAGUAACCUGAUUAUCGUAGUACCUGGAAAUAACCUACGCAUGCACAGCGAGAACUUCAAACAUCCAGAUAUUUGGAGUACUCAAAGUAGUUCAAGUUCCUUUGUUAACUAACUGACUACUGAAAGGUUUGGGAGUGACUGUGGAAAACCCACAUCUGCACAGGAAGAAAAGUAAACCCACAAAAAAUCAUUCCAGUCAAUAUUGUGGCCAGCCACCUUUAUUGAUAAUUGAAUGUUUAAUUUGCAGCCCUGCUGUAAAGUAUUAUUUUUCUUUUGUUUUGUUUUAUUUAUUGCUGCUUAAACGAAGAAAUGAUAGGAAAGUAGCAUGGAGUUUACCAACUAAAACAGGUGUUUUGUCAAAAUGUUGUGGAAUUAUUAUUAUUCAAACCAUUUAUUCCAGAAAAUGGCCAAACAAAAGCAUUCAUUGAAGACUUUCAUGUUUUGUCAGACUUUGAUGAUUCAUUUUCAAUCUUGCUACAUUCACACUUUAUUGUAGCCUCUAGCAGUUUGGCAAAACGUGUAUGUUGUAUUACUUUUAGUUAUUUCUACUGUUAAUGCUGGCAAGAUUUCUCUGGAUUACAUAGAACAGCUGUUUAGUCGUGAUGGUGUGAGAAGGUGGGAGAAACUAAACAUACACGGCCGUAAUUAUAAGUACAAAAUGAAGCUCUACAUUUCAGAGGUGCAGGAGGACAGCAUUUUUCUCGAGAAUGAAACCCUAAACAUGACUGGAAUCUCUUUUACUUUGAGCUGUAAGUUUUCCAAAGAAUAUGAGACAGAGAUAAUCAAGGUUUGCUGCCACAGGUCAUGAUGCCAUCUUUGCGAGCUGCAGAGAUGAGUAUCUGCGGUGCUCUGGCCAAAUGUUUUCUUAGAAGCAAGUCAAACAACAAUCCAGACACCAGUCAAGUUUUUCCAGAAUGGUGAAUGUCCAUGGCAAGCUCCCUGGAUUGUGUUUGUAGUUUUGUGUAAUCAAAUGUCAGGUGCAAAUUAGUCUCCUCUUUACAUUAAUGCCGGCAGCUAGGCAGCUGUCACACACAACAAACAACUUAACGGUUCAGAUAUUUCCAGAUGAAUGGGGUGCUAAAACAUAUCUGCUGAUCCGCACACUAAUUCAAUGUGUUAUGAAUAUGGUCACAUGAUUAAUGCUCCCAUCUAUGUUUGAUGAUGAAGCAAAACAAAAAAAUAUAUGUAUUUUCAAAAUAACUAUCCUGAAUAAACCUCUUUUUUCUUCAAUUAACCGUAAGAAACAACAGAUCAAUAAAGUAAAUCACACCCUG
This is a long non-coding RNA of Girardinichthys multiradiatus, 1978 nucleotides long. RefSeq lists it as uncharacterized. The record is from RefSeq and is a predicted model, not a curated record. NCBI's taxonomy places the organism in Eukaryota, Metazoa, Chordata, Actinopteri, Cyprinodontiformes, Goodeidae. The transcript has 3 exons.